GAGUUUGAUCGUGGCUCAGAUUGAACGCUGGCGGCAGGCCUAACACAUGCAAGUCGAGCGGUAGAGAGAAGCUUGCUUCUCUUGAGAGCGGCGGACGGGUGAGUAAUGCCUAGGAAUCUGCCUGGUAGUGGGGGAUAACGCUCGGAAACGGACGCUAAUACCGCAUACGUCCUACGGGAGAAAGCAGGGGACCUUCGGGCCUUGCGCUAUCAGAUGAGCCUAGGUCGGAUUAGCUAGUUGGUGAGGUAAUGGCUCACCAAGGCGACGAUCCGUAACUGGUCUGAGAGGAUGAUCAGUCACACUGGAACUGAGACACGGUCCAGACUCCUACGGGAGGCAGCAGUGGGGAAUAUUGGACAAGUGGGCGAAAGCCUGAUCCAGCCAUGCCGCGUGUGUGAAGAAGGUCUUCGGAUUGU
RNAcentral lists this ribosomal RNA (416 nucleotides) under uncultured bacterium. Its description in RNAcentral is "bacterial SSU rRNA". It matches the Rfam family "Bacterial small subunit ribosomal RNA", at positions 9 to 426 of the family's 1533-position model. The record is from RNAcentral.